GUGGGGAAUUUUGGACAAUGGGCGCAAGCCUGAUCCAGCAAUGCCGCGUGCAGGAAGAAGGCCUUCGGGUUGUAAACUGCUUUUGUACGGAACGAAAAGGCUCUGGUUAAUACCUGGGGCUCAUGACGGUACCGUAAGAAUAAGCACCGGCUAACUACGUGCCAGCAGCCGCGGUAAUACGUAGGGAGCAAGCGUUAAUCGGAAUUACUGGGCGUAAAGCGUGCGCAGGCGGUUUUGUAAGACAGACGUGAAAUCCCCGGGCUCAACCUGGGAAUGGCGUUUGUGACUGCAAAGCUGGAGUGCGGCAGAGGGGGAUGGAAUUCCGCGUGUAGCAGUGAAAUGCGUAGAUAUGCGGAGGAACACCGAUGGCGAAGGCAAUCCCCUGGGCCUGCACUGACGCUCAUGCACGAAAGCGUGGGGAGCAAACAGGAUUAGAUACCCGGGUAGUCC
Molecule: ribosomal RNA, 450 nt
Filed under: uncultured bacterium
Lineage: Bacteria
Description: partial 16S ribosomal RNA
Rfam family: Bacterial small subunit ribosomal RNA
Source: RNAcentral